This 379-nucleotide long non-coding RNA is filed under the name Elaeis guineensis (African oil palm). RNAcentral's name for it is "long non-coding RNA (EGUI_LNC073902)". Lineage: Eukaryota; Viridiplantae; Streptophyta; Magnoliopsida; Arecales; Arecaceae. The record is from RNAcentral.
UACGGCUGGUCGGAAGAUAUUCGGCUUACCACCGUAUAUCGUGAGGCGCAGUACAGAUACCCGACACAAGGGUAUCGGGGUCCGACUUAUCGGUGCUCCCUCGACUGAAUGCGCCGGACGACAUUCGACUGAACGCAUCGGAAGAGACCCGACUACUGAACCUUUAUCACGGUUGGUCGGCUUCCGACUCAACAAACGCGCUCGACUCACGGUCGGGGAAAGGACGCCCGACUGACGACCUUGAUUAUCAAAGGCCGAUCAAAAGUCGGGACUUGUCCUACCUUCAUGGCGAUGCGAGUUGCCAAACGUCCUAACCGACCUAUCUGAGUUAGCGACUUACGAAGGCAUUCUAUGACACAUAAGAGAAAGGAAAACAAGC